GUGUGUGUGUGUUUGUGUCUGACUGUGUGUGUGUGUGUUUGUUUCUGACUGUGUGUGUGUGUGUUUGUUUCUGACUGUGUGUGUGUGUGUCUGACUGUGUGUGUGUGUGUGUCUGACUGUGUCUGACUGUGUGUUUGUGUCUGUCUGACUGUGUGUGUGUCUGACUGUGUGUGUGUUUGUGUCUGUGUGUGUUUGUGUUUGUGUCUGUG
Non-coding RNA from Pelobates cultripes (western spadefoot toad), 209 nucleotides. The record is from the annotation of a GenBank genome assembly. NCBI's taxonomy places the organism in Eukaryota, Metazoa, Chordata, Amphibia, Anura, Pelobatidae.